This 2404-nucleotide ribosomal RNA is filed under the name Escherichia coli. RNAcentral describes it as "partial 23S ribosomal RNA". It matches the Rfam family "Bacterial large subunit ribosomal RNA", at positions 532 to 2915 of the family's 2925-position model. The record is from RNAcentral. Lineage: Bacteria; Pseudomonadati; Pseudomonadota; Gammaproteobacteria; Enterobacterales; Enterobacteriaceae.
AGGGGAGUGAAAAAGAACCUGAAACCGUGUACGUACAAGCAGUGGGAGCACGCUUAGGCGUGUGACUGCGUACCUUUUGUAUAAUGGGUCAGCGACUUAUAUUCUGUAGCAAGGUUAACCGAAUAGGGGAGCCGAAGGGAAACCGAGUCUUAACUGGGCGUUAAGUUGCAGGGUAUAGACCCGAAACCCGGUGAUCUAGCCAUGGGCAGGUUGAAGGUUGGGUAACACUAACUGGAGGACCGAACCGACUAAUGUUGAAAAAUUAGCGGAUGACUUGUGGCUGGGGGUGAAAGGCCAAUCAAACCGGGAGAUAGCUGGUUCUCCCCGAAAGCUAUUUAGGUAGCGCCUCGUGAAUUCAUCUCCGGGGGUAGAGCACUGUUUCGGCAAGGGGGUCAUCCCGACUUACCAACCCGAUGCAAACUGCGAAUACCGGAGAAUGUUAUCACGGGAGACACACGGCGGGUGCUAACGUCCGUCGUGAAGAGGGAAACAACCCAGACCGCCAGCUAAGGUCCCAAAGUCAUGGUUAAGUGGGAAACGAUGUGGGAAGGCCCAGACAGCCAGGAUGUUGGCUUAGAAGCAGCCAUCAUUUAAAGAAAGCGUAAUAGCUCACUGGUCGAGUCGGCCUGCGCGGAAGAUGUAACGGGGCUAAACCAUGCACCGAAGCUGCGGCAGCGACGCUGAUGCGUUGUUGGGUAGGGGAGCGUUCUGUAAGCCUGUGAAGGUGUGCUGUGAGGCAUGCUGGAGGUAUCAGAAGUGCGAAUGCUGACAUAAGUAACGAUAAAGCGGGUGAAAAGCCCGCUCGCCGGAAGACCAAGGGUUCCUGUCCAACGUUAAUCGGGGCAGGGUGAGUCGACCCCUAAGGCGAGGCCGAAAGGCGUAGUCGAUGGGAAACAGGUUAAUAUUCCUGUACUUGGUGUUACUGCGAAGGGGGGACGGAGAAGGCUAUGUUGGCCGGGCGACGGUUGUCCCGGUUUAAGCGUGUAGGCUGGUUUUCCAGGCAAAUCCGGAAAAUCAAGGCUGAGGCGUGAUGACGAGGCACUACGGUGCUGAAGCAACAAAUGCCCUGCUUCCAGGAAAAGCCUCUAAGCAUCAGGUAACAUCAAAUCGUACCCCAAACCGACACAGGUGGUCAGGUAGAGAAUACCAAGGCGCUUGAGAGAACUCGGGUGAAGGAACUAGGCAAAAUGGUGCCGUAACUUCGGGAGAAGGCACGCUGAUAUGUAGGUGAAGCGACUUGCUCGUGGAGCUGAAAUCAGUCGAAGAUACCAGCUGGCUGCAACUGUUUAUUAAAAACACAGCACUGUGCAAACACGAAAGUGGACGUAUACGGUGUGACGCCUGCCCGGUGCCGGAAGGUUAAUUGAUGGGGUCAGCGCAAGCGAAGCUCUUGAUCGAAGCCCCGGUAAACGGCGGCCGUAACUAUAACGGUCCUAAGGUAGCGAAAUUCCUUGUCGGGUAAGUUCCGACCUGCACGAAUGGCGUAAUGAUGGCCAGGCUGUCUCCACCCGAGACUCAGUGAAAUUGAACUCGCUGUGAAGAUGCAGUGUACCCGCGGCAAGACGGAAAGACCCCGUGAACCUUUACUAUAGCUUGACACUGAACAUUGAGCCUUGAUGUGUAGGAUAGGUGGGAGGCUUUGAAGUGUGGACGCCAGUCUGCAUGGAGCCGGCCUUGAAAUACCACCCUUUAAUGUUUGAUGUUCUAACGUUGACCCGUGAUCCGGGUUGCGGACAGUGUCUGGUGGGUAGUUUGACUGGGGCGGUCUCCUCCUAAAGAGUAACGGAGGAGCACGAAGGUUGGCUAAUCCUGGUCGGACAUCAGGAGGUUAGUGCAAUGGCAUAAGCCAGCUUGACUGCGAGCGUGACGGCGCGAGCAGGUGCGAAAGCAGGUCAUAGUGAUCCGGUGGUUCUGAAUGGAAGGGCCAUCGCUCAACGGAUAAAAGGUACUCCGGGGAUAACAGGCUGAUACCGCCCAAGAGUUCAUAUCGACGGCGGUGUUUGGCACCUCGAUGUCGGCUCAUCACAUCCUGGGGCUGAAGUAGGUCCCAAGGGUAUGGCUGUUCGCCAUUUAAAGUGGUACGCGAGCUGGGUUUAGAACGUCGUGAGACAGUUCGGUCCCUAUCUGCCGUGGGCGCUGGAGAACUGAGGGGGGCUGCUCCUAGUACGAGAGGACCGGAGUGGACGCAUCACUGGUGUUCGGGUUGUCAUGCCAAUGGCACUGCCCGGUAGCUAAAUGCGGAAGAGAUAAGUGCUGAAAGCAUCUAAGCACGAAACUUGCCCCGAGAUGAGUUCUCCCUGACUCCUUGAGAGUCCUGAAGGAACGUUGAAGACGACGACGUUGAUAGGCCGGGUGUGUAAGCGCAGCGAUGCGUUGAGCUAACCGGUACUAAUGAACCGUGAGG